UCAUUCAAAUAUUGCCAAUUUGACUUUUUGAAUUGCUCCCCCUUUCAUUUAUAAUUCAUUAAAGAUGAAACUCCAAAAAUUUGAGAUAAAACAUGAGUUUCAGAUUAUGUAUCGAGGUGUGAAAGGUGCGUGCCAAAUUCUGAAAUUCUAUGUGCCAAAUUCUGAAAUUUGAUAGAAAUUUUUGACUUGAUCAUUUUCAUUGUUGCAAAUUGCUCCCCCUUGGAUGUAUAUGCUUUCCUAUAUG
RNAcentral lists this long non-coding RNA (244 nucleotides) under Phoenix dactylifera (date palm). RNAcentral's name for it is "long non-coding RNA (PDAC_LNC008118)". Lineage: Eukaryota; Viridiplantae; Streptophyta; Magnoliopsida; Arecales; Arecaceae. The record is from RNAcentral.